CGAUCCUCCACCUUGGCCUCCCAAAGUGUUAUUGGCCUGAGACUAGUUUUAGAAAUACAAUCCAGAAAGCUGCCAGCAGCAGAGCCUGGCUGAGUGGGUGUCCUGCAGGUCAGAGAAUGAGUCACAGCUGUGGAGCUCCUGGAUCAUUCAUCAGCACCACCUAAGACCCUGCUCCAUCCAAUAGAAACAGGGUUGGACUUGGACACUGUGGGUGUGGGAGGAAGGGAUUCGUGUUUCAGUUCCUUUCAUGACGGUCUAUGACUUUUUCGGCUGAUCUUAGCUUGUUGCACUUCGAGGCUUGAGUGGAUUUUAGAGAACCCAGAUGGAGUCUGUGUUAGACACUGAGAAUUGUCUACUCAACAGCUAUCUCCACAUUCUUGCUUAUCAGAAGACUGAUUCUGCUGCUCUUUGUGGUUAAUUCCUUUUCUCUUUCUCUGAGUUGUUUAGACAGAGGCUUGUGGUCUUUCUUGCCUCAGGCCCUCCCCCACCACCAUGAAAUACCAGGGGCACAUCUGGGAAAGUUUUCCUUUUUCUUUUCUUAAGGAGAAGUCCAAGACCAACACUUCCCUCCUCUUGCCUUUGGGCAUUACUGUGGGGGUGUGAAGUCUGGAGCCCUAGGAGCCAUCUUGACACCCUCAAAGAAUCACACAGAGAGUGGUAUGUGACCCUAACACCUUUGUAGGUGUAGACACUAUAAUACCCAACCUGGGCCCCGUCUAUCUGGACUACUUGCUAUGUGAAAUAAUAGAUAUUAUCAUUGAUUAUUAUUUAUUUAUUUUUGCAGCCAUAAGCAGCCUAACACACCUCGAAUCUAAACUCCUUAUUUGACAUAUGGGAAGAAGCAGGUUCAGAGAGAAAAAGCAAAUUGCCCAAGGUCACACUGUGGGUAUGACAGUGUCAGCCUAAAAUCCUUUUUUCCUAUCUUCCUCUCAUGGUGAAAGAAAUUUGUUUCCUGCUUAAUACAUGGGUCAUCUCAAGAAUAAAGUGGGAUUCCACAUGGAUUUGGGAUAAAUGGAGACCGUGUUAAUUGUUCUUUCCUUUUGCCUCACUACAUUUAGGCUGCUAUAACAAAAUACCUUAGACUUGGCAAUUUAUAAACAACGGAAGUUUAUUGCUUACAGUCUGGAAGCUGGGAAAUCUAACACCAGAGCACACAUAGAUUUGGUGUCUGGUGAAGGCCUGUUUUUCUUAGAUGGCGGCUUCUUCGUGAAUCCCCACAUGAUAGAAGGGCAAACAAGCUCUCUCAGGCCUCUUUUUUAUGGCCACUAAUCCCACUGAUGGGGGCUCCUCCUUCAUGACCUAAUUACCUCUCAGAUGUCCCAUUUGCCAACACCACUGUAAUGGGGAGAAAGUUUCAACAUUGAAAUCUGGGGGCGCAGAAGCACUCAGACCACAACACCUUUCUUUCUAGAUGAGAGUCAGAGACAUGAAUUUCAGUCCAAAUCUGCUAUGGUGAGCAUAAUUCUUCAGGAUGACACAAACAAUAAUCACUCCUAUCCAUUCUCACUUGCUAUAAAGAGAUAUCUGAGACUGGGUAACUUCUUUUUUUAAUUUUUUUAUAAAGACGAGCUUUCAUCAUGUUGGUCAGGCUGGUCUUGCACUCCCGACCUCAGGUGAUUCACCCACCUUGGCCUCCAAAGUGCUUGGAUUACAGGCAUGAGCCACCACGCCAGGCCAAGACUGGGUAACUUCUAAAGAAAAGAAGUGUCUUUGGGAGACCGAGGUGGGUGAAUCACAAGGUCAAGAGAUCGAGACCAUCCUGGUCAACAUGGUGAAACCCCAUCUCUACUAAAAAAUACAAAAAUUAGCUGGGCAUGGUGGUGCAUGCUUAUAGUCCCAGCUACUUGGGAGGCUGAGGCAGGAGAAUUGCUUGAACUCAGGAGGUGGAGAUUGCAGUGAGCCUAGAUUGUGCCAUUGCACUCCAGCCUGGCGCCUGGUGACAGAGUAAGACUCUGUCUCAAAAAAAAGAAGAAGAGAUUUAUGCCAGGAUCAGUGGCUCACACCUGUAAUCUCAGCACUUUGGGAGGCCACAGCAGGUGGAUCACCUGAGGUCAGGAGUUCGAGACCAGUCUGGCCAACAUGGUAAAACCCCGUCUUUACUAAAAAUGAAAAAUUAGCCGGGAAUGGUGGUAGGUGUCUAUAAUCCCACCUACUCAGGAGACUGUGGUGGGAGAAUUGCUUGAACCUGGGAGGUGGAGGCUACACUUCAGCCUGGGCGAAGAUGGGUUUUUUUUUCUUUUUAAUUAUUUUUUUCAGAUGGGGUUUUGCGACAGAGCAAAACUCCAUCUGAAAAAAAUAACAAAAAAGUAAAGAAGUGUAAUUGGCUCAUGUUUCUGCAGGCUGCACAGGAAAUGUAGUGGCUUCUGCUUCUGAGGAGGCCUCAGGAAGCUUCCAGUCAUGGUGGAAGGCAAAGCGGGAGACGGCAUCUUACAUGGCUGGAGCGUGAGGAAGACGCUUCCAUGGCCAUAGGUGAUAUUGGCCUAUGUUACCUCUCAUCAUAUAAUCCAAAAGGGAGUCAUACUUUUACCUCUCCUGGAACUACACCCAUCUUAUCCACAGGUCCUGCAGAGAUCAGUGGGACAGAAAGCUGUUUCUUCUAUGAAAUGGAAAUGACAUCCCCUGCCUAAGAGCAGUGGCAUAACAAUUCCACAAGCUAGCAUCUUUGAAAUCAUUCAAGGUUUGGUGAUAAGCUAUUAGCUACAACAGCAAAGCUACAGGGCAUGGGAGAAAAAGCUGGUCACUUGGACUUUGUUAACGUUAAAAACUUCUGCUUUGUGAAAGACACUAUUGAGAGAGUCAAAAGGCAAGCCACAGAAUGGGGGAAAAUGUUUGCAAAACAUGUCUGACAGAGGACUGAUAUACAAAAGACACAUCAACCCAACAACAAGAAAACAAACAAUCCAAUUAAAAAGUGAGCUAAAGGUGCAAUCAGACACCUCACUAAGUAAGAGAUACGGAAGAGAAAUAAUCAAGUGAAAAGUUGAUCAACAUAAUUUGUCGUUAGGGAAUUGCAAGUUAAAACAACCACGAGAUACCACUACACACCUAUUAGAAUGGCCAAAAUCCAAAACACUGACAAUGCUAAAUGCCGAUGAGGAUGUGGAGCAAUGGUAUAGCCACUGGAGAAAAGAGUGUGGCAGUUUCUUACAAAACUAAAUCUAAUCUUACUCUAUGAUCCAGCAAUAUACUCCUAGGUAUUGAUCCAACUGAUUUGAAAAUGAAUGUUCAAACAGAAACCUACACACUAUUAUUUAUAGCAGCUUUAUUUUCAUAAUUGCCAAAAACUGAAAGAAAAAACCCACAGUCUCCUUCAAUAAGUGAAUUGGUGGACGUACUGUGAUACUUAUACACCCUAGAAUACUAUUUAUGAUUUAAAAAAUAAGAAUGCUAUCAAGCUGUGGGAGGCUAUGAAUGAAUCUUCGAUGUGUAUUGCUAGAUGAAGAAAGGGACUGACAAGUCUGUGUACUGUAGGAUUCCAAGUAUGUGCCAUUCUAGAAAAGGCAGAAGAUAAGUGGUUGUUAGGGAUUCUGGGGAGCACUGAACAGAUGAGCUUCAGGGGAUUUUUAGAGUGGUGAGACCAUUACGCAUAAUACUGCAAUUGUGGAUGACAUAUGACAGUAAGCAUUUAUGAUAGAACUUCACAGCACACAGGGAACCUUUGUACUUAAAUGAAUUAAAAAAAAAAAAGCAUUUAGGAUGUAAAGGGAACCCAGGAUCAGAUGCAUAAAGUAGUAAAACAAUCUAAUUGUAUCACAAAUGUAUAAAACAACCACAGCAAUGGGGUGGAGGAAAUUGUUGUAGACCUAAGUAACUUUGGAAAUGAAUGGAGUCCAUAAAAUUAAAGGCAAAAGAGACUAUAUAUAAAUACUGCACUUUAGUUGAAAAGUUGUUUCCUGUGAGAUAUGGGUUAACAAUUAUGAUACUGCUAUACAGUAUGCUGGGAUUGAACAAAUAAAUAAAAGGAUGGCUAUUGGGGGAAGCCAGUUUUUUACUAUUGGAGGGGACUGCAUAGGUAAGAUAGAGGAGGAAGCUAGAAUGAUCUACAUGAUAAUGGAUUUGAGUUGGAGAUAUCAGUGUAAACCAUGUUUAGCUUAAUAUAGAGACAGAUGUUUAUAUAAAGGAAAUGUAUAGACAUGGAUAUAUACACAGGUUAGUGUACACACAUGCAUGUUUUCUGCUCUGUCAGCUGAGAGAGCCUAGAAGCAGUGACAUCUCAGUAGCUACAAGCAUACCUAGAGUCCACAUUUUGGUUUUCAGUAUUAUUGUAUAGAACAAAGAACCAGCAAUCCUUGGAGAAAUGGCUGAAUCUAUGACUGGGGCAGGACAUUUAUAAGAUGAUACCAGGUGUUGAACAAUGAGAGCACAUGGACACAGGGAGGGGAGUACUACACA
Molecule: long non-coding RNA, 4392 nt
Organism: Callithrix jacchus (white-tufted-ear marmoset)
Lineage: Eukaryota; Metazoa; Chordata; Mammalia; Primates; Cebidae
Source: RefSeq, a predicted model, not a curated record